RNAcentral lists this small RNA (87 nucleotides) under Flavobacterium crassostreae. Its description in RNAcentral is "Flavo-1 RNA". It matches the Rfam family "Flavo-1 RNA". The record is from Rfam by way of RNAcentral. Lineage: Bacteria; Pseudomonadati; Bacteroidota; Flavobacteriia; Flavobacteriales; Flavobacteriaceae.
UGUUUGCUUUGCGUUAGGGAUGGUAGCGGCAUCCUUUUUGUCCCUUUUUGGAGGGACAAAAAGAUAUAGCGUACAGCCCGACCCUUU